RNAcentral lists this unclassified non-coding RNA (237 nucleotides) under uncultured fungus. RNAcentral describes it as "partial contains 18S rRNA, ITS1, 5.8S rRNA, ITS2 and 28S rRNA". The record is from RNAcentral. Lineage: Eukaryota; Fungi.
AAGGAUCAUUAUUGAAUAAACCUGAUGUGGUUGUUGCUGGUUCUCUAGGGAGCAUGUGCACGCCCGUCAUCUUUAUAUUUCCACCUGUGCACCUUUUGUAGACCCAGAAGACUUGAGCAAUCGAGUCGUUUGGGCCUAUGUUUUAUCAUAUACCCCAUAGUAUGUAUCAGAAUGUAUCAGUGGGCUUUUGUGCCUAUAAACACUAUACAACUUUCAGCAACGGAUCUCUUGGCUCUC